RNAcentral lists this ribosomal RNA (835 nucleotides) under uncultured archaeon. RNAcentral describes it as "bacterial SSU rRNA". It matches the Rfam family "Archaeal small subunit ribosomal RNA", at positions 21 to 859 of the family's 1478-position model. The record is from RNAcentral.
GGUUACUGCUAUCGGUGUUCGCCUAAGCCAUGCGAGUCAUAUGUAGCAAUACAUGGCGUACUGCUCAGUAACACGUGGAUAACCUGCCCUUGGGUCCGGCAUAACCCCGGGAAACUGGGGAUAAUUCCGGAUAACGCACAUAUGCUGGAAUGCUUUUUGCGUAAAAUGGAUUCGUCUGCCCAAGGAUGGGUCUGCGGCCUAUCAGGUAGUAGUGGGUGUAAUGUACCUACUAGCCUACGACGGGUACGGGUUGUGAGAGCAAGAGCCCGGAGAUGGAUUCUGAGACAUGAAUCCAGGCCCUACGGGGCGCAGCAGGCGCGAAAACUUUACAAUGCGGGAAACCGUGAUAAGGGGACACCGAGUGCCAGCAUCCUAUGCUGGCUGUCCGGGUGUGUAAAAUACACCUGUUAGCAAGGGCCGGGCAAGACCGGUGCCAGCCGCCGCGGUAACACCGGCGGCCCGAGUGGUGAUCGUGAUUAUUGGGUCUAAAGGGUCCGUAGCCGGUUUGGUCAGUCCUCCGGGAAAUCUGACAGCUCAACUGUUAGGCUAUCGGAGGAUACUGCCAGACUUGGAACCGGGAGAGGUAAGAGGUACUACAGGGGUAGGAGUGAAAUCUUGUAAUCCCUGUGGGACCACCUGUGGCGAAGGCGUCUUACCGGAACGGGUUCGACGGUGAGGGACGAAAGCUGGGGGCACGAACCGGAUUAGAUACCCGGGUAGUCCCAGCCGUAAACGAUGCUCGCUAGGUGUCAGGCAUGGCGCGACCGUGUCUGGUGCCGCAGGGAAGCCGUGAAGCGAGCCACCUGGGAAGUACGGCCGCAAGGCUGAAACUUAA